This 373-nucleotide ribosomal RNA is filed under the name uncultured bacterium. RNAcentral describes it as "bacterial SSU rRNA". It matches the Rfam family "Bacterial small subunit ribosomal RNA", at positions 524 to 898 of the family's 1533-position model. The record is from RNAcentral.
UACGUAGGGGGCGAGCGUUAUCCGGAAUUAUUGGGCGUAAAGAGUGCGUAGGUGGUCUUGUAAGCGUGGGGUGAAAGGCAGUGGCUUAACCAUUGUAAGCCCUGCGAACUGUGAGACUUGAGUGCAGGAGAGGAAAGCGGAAUUCCUAGUGUAGCGGUGAAGUGCGUAGAUAUUAGGAGGAACACCAGUGGCGAAGGCGGCUUUCUGGACUGUAACUGACACUGAGGCACGAAAGCGUGGGGAGCAAACAGGAUUAGAUACCCUGGUAGUCCACGCCGUAAACGAUGAGCACUAGGUGUCGGGGUCGCAAGACUUCGGUGCCGCAGUUAACGCAUUAAGUGCUCCGCCUGGGGAGUACGCACGCAAGUGUGAA